AACGUAGGAGGCGAGCGUUAUCCGGAUUUACUGGGUGUAAAGCGCGUGCAGGCGGUUGGCUAAGUUGGGUGUGAAAGCUCCUGGCUCAACUAGGAGAGGUCGCUCAAGACUGGUCGACUGGAGAAUGGUAGAGGAAGGUGGAAUUCCGGGAGUAGUGGUGAAAUGCGUAGAUAUCCGGAGGAACACCAGUGGCGAAAGCGGCCUUCUGGACCAUUUCUGACGCUCAGACGCGAAAGCUAGGGUAGCAAACGGG
RNAcentral lists this ribosomal RNA (253 nucleotides) under uncultured bacterium. Its description in RNAcentral is "partial 16S ribosomal RNA". It matches the Rfam family "Bacterial small subunit ribosomal RNA", at positions 524 to 776 of the family's 1533-position model. The record is from RNAcentral.